RNAcentral lists this non-coding RNA (604 nucleotides) under Pan troglodytes (chimpanzee). Lineage: Eukaryota; Metazoa; Chordata; Mammalia; Primates; Hominidae. The record is from RNAcentral.
GUCUCGGCAGCGGUGGCCGUAGCUCCAUCGCAUUUUAUGUUUCUGGCGAGAAGGGAACGGAGUUUUCAUCAGGUAGAUUGGUUUUUGUGCGGCCGUCCUCCACCGUUUCCUCCAGGACAGCACCUAGUCGUGGCCGGAGGAGUCUCAGAGCUGUCAGAAAGAAUAAGACUGAUUUUAUGGGAAAAUUAAGCAAAUGCUCCAGUUUGAGAAACCUGGAUCUGCGAUCUGUUUGUGGUACCAGCAUCAAGAUGAUUUAUGGUAAUAAGGUACUCAGUCUUUGCUUAAAAUAAAUUUUACGUUUAUCAAAGUAAAAUUUACCAGCUUUUUUUCCUAAAGAGGCUAGUCAUAUCUCAUCAGUGGUUACAAAGUAUCCUUACAAUUGAACCUCCAUUUGUUAAUCCUGUUCAGUGUGUAUGAAAAUCACUUGGUGGCCGGGCAUGGUGGCUCACGCCUGUAAUCCCAGCACUUUGGGAGGCCGAGGCGGGCAGAUCACAAGGUCAGGAGUUCGAGACCAGCCUGGCUAAUAUAGUGAAACCCCAUUUCUACUAAAAAUGCAAACAUUAGUCAGGCGUGGUGGCAGGUGCCUGUAGUCCCAGCUACUUGG